AGGAAUUAAUUUAAAAUUAAAAAUGUAGGAAUGUCAGACCUAAUUUAUACUUAGUAUAUUUCUUUA
This 66-nucleotide transfer RNA is filed under the name Gomphiocephalus hodgsoni. RNAcentral's name for it is "tRNA-Asp". The record is from RNAcentral. Lineage: Eukaryota; Metazoa; Arthropoda; Collembola; Poduromorpha; Hypogastruridae.